GGUAAACUCGCACCUGUUCUACCCAGAAGAGUGGCUCAAGUUCACAUUCAGAAUUUAUUUGUUGAAAGAGUAUCUCCACUUUAUCACAAUAGAGCACUUCCAAUUCUUUCAGAAGUGGCCAGCUUGAACUAAACCUUCUAGAGCAAAAUCUUUUGAGUUGGUGUAAACCGGAGAGUGUGAGAGAGGUAAGGUUAGGGAAUAAGAGUAAAGGUGCUGCCUCAUCUUCAUUUUCAUUGGCAACAAUUGCCUCCACUCCACUCUGAAAUAUAUUUAGGUUCUCAAGUUGCACAAGAGCACUCGCCACAGAAACCGGAAAAAGGUUUAGCAAUUUGUUGCAUCCCCUUACUUGCAAUUCCCUUAAUUUGGAAAAUGAAUUUGCUGGAAGUUGGUCAGGCCACAAUGCUCUUAUAUUAUCUAGUCCGCAUACAGAAAAGGACUCCAAGCCUGGGAGUGCAACCUGUGCAAUUGAUGAUCCCUUUAGUUAAUAAUAUAUACAUAUACAUUCCUAAUAAUUAGCACAUGUAAAUAGAAAAUAAGAGGUUAAAGGAGAAUAUAUCAGUAUAACAAAGCACAAAAUUUAAACUAGAUUCAAGAAGAUCAAGAAAGAGAAAAGAAAAGAAAAAGCCUCCAGAUUUUAAAGAUACAAUGAAACUUAAAAAAAAAAAAAAAAAACCUCCAAAUUUUCCUUUCGAAAUGAGGUAAUAAGAGGAUUUUUUUUUUUUUCUUUUUUCUUUGCCUCUCUUUCAAAUUUGAUUAACUUCUAUGGAAAACGUAUUUUAACUAGUUAUGGAAAACGGAUUUUUUUUUUAAACUUUUAUAUAAGAUACAAGUAAUACUUUUAAAAAAUUGUGAUAUCUAAAAAAGUUUUUGAAAAAUUAUUUUUAAAGAAAUAAGGUAAAUCUAUACUUUUUGUAUAAGAUCUUCUACCUUUAUAUACAAAUUUCUGAUUUUUUUUUUUAAAGUGUAUCCAAAUGGACACUAAACUAUCUAGUUUUUAAUUGUUACAACUUUGAAUUGGAUUUUAUGGUAAACUAAUUUACAAGUUAAUGCAUGGAUUCAUCUUAGAUUCCAUCUAUAAAUUUUUUUAAUUAUCUAAUAUAAGACAUUAUAUUAAUGGGUUGAAUUAAUAAUGUAAUUAUAAUUUAUUUGGCAACUUUCUUCCUUCAAAUAUAUAAAAUGAAAAUAAAUUUUAAAAAAUAAAAAAGAAUGAAAAAAAUAAAAAAUAAAAAAAGCUUUUUUUUAUAGUUUUUCUAAGAUGAUUUUGUAGAGUACUGUUAGUUUAUAGUUUUAACUUUAUUUCAUUUUACUUUUAACUUUAUUUAUUGAGGUAUGUUCUUUUUUGAAACUCUUGUUUAGAUUUUAUAGAGAAUAUAAAUUUUAAGAAAAAAAAAGGAAAUUUAAAUAAAAUAAGAAUAAAGAAAGGCAAAAGGUGGAUGAAUUUUUUUAAGGCAAAAGUUUGAUAAUUUGGCACUAUCAUGUAAUGGGUGAAAUUUUUAAAUACUCAACAAAGGCUAGUGAAAUUUAAAUUAAAAGCUUGACAUGUACCUUUUCGACCAAAAUCUUUGGAGUUGGUGUAAAGUUUUGAGUAUGAGAGAGGUUAGUCUAGGGAAUAUUAUUGCACAUUUGUUCAAAUAAAACAUCAACAUUUUUUUUUGUUAAAUUCUAAAUGAACACCACUAUAAAUUAAUGCGAUUUUGUAUGCUCAAUUAAAUAAACUCAUUCUUAAGGCAUCACAUGAAGUGUUUAAGUCUAAUUAAUAUUAAUUAAAAAUGAUUAUAUUAAAAAAAAUCCAAAGUAAUUUAUUUUUAUCAUAAGUCAAGUAGGAUAGUUUUAUAAAUAAUUGGUUCUAGUUUCUAGUAUUAUUGUACACAAUCGCUAUGUUUGUUGCACCUCCAAAAAUCUACUACUUGUAAUUAAUUGUAUAUUAUUCUCCAUAUUCACAUCAGUUUAUGUAGUAUGAUUAAUUUAGCAACAAAAUAUAAGUUUACUUGAAAUCGCUUUAAAUUCCUAUGAUAUUAAAGUUUAAGAUUAAAACAAUUUAACAUUAGCCAAAAAGAUUAAGAUCUAUAAUGUAACAUAUAAAAUUUAGAAAAUUCAAGGAAGGGUAAACUCGCACCUGUUCUACCCAGAAGAGUGGCUCAAGUUCACAUUCAGAAUUUAUUUGUUGAAAGAGUAUCUCCACUUUAUCACAAUCGAGCACUUCCAAUUCUUUCAGAAGUGGCCAACUUGAACUAAACUUUCUAGAGCAAAAUCUUUUGAGUUGGUGUAAACCGGAGAGUGUGAGAGAGGUAAGGUUAGGGAAUAAAAGUAAAAGUGCUGCUUCAUCUUCAUUUUCAUUGUGAACAAUUGCCUCCACUCCACUAUAAAAUAUAUUUAGGUUCUCAAGUUGCACAAGAGCACUCGCCACAGAAACCGGAAAAAGGUUUAGCAAUUUGUUGCAUCCCCUUACUUGCAAUUUCCUUAAUUUGGAAAAUGAAUUUGCUGGAAGUUGGUCAGGCCACAAUGCUCUUAUAUUAUCUAGUCCGCAUACAGACACGGACUCCAAGCCUGGGAGUGCAACCUGUGCAAUUGAUGAUCCCUUUAGUUAAUAAUAUAUACAUAUACAUUCCUAAUAAUUAGACACAUGUAAAUAGAAAAU
Molecule: long non-coding RNA, 2638 nt
Filed under: Vitis vinifera (wine grape)
Lineage: Eukaryota; Viridiplantae; Streptophyta; Magnoliopsida; Vitales; Vitaceae
Description: long non-coding RNA (VVIN_LNC003280)
Source: RNAcentral